UACGAAGGGGGCUAGCGUUGCUCGGAAUCACUGGGCGUAAAGGGUGCGUAGGCGGGUCUUUAAGUCAGGGGUGAAAUCCUGGAGCUCAACUCCAGAACUGCCUUCGAUACUGAAGAUCUUGAGUUCGGGAGAGGUGAGUGGAACUGCGAGUGUAGAGGUGAAAUUCGUAGAUAUUCGCAAGAACACCAGUGGCGAAGGCGGCUCACUGGCCCGAUACUGACGCUGAGGCACGAAGGCGUGGGGAUCAAACAGG
This 253-nucleotide ribosomal RNA is filed under the name uncultured bacterium. RNAcentral describes it as "partial 16S ribosomal RNA". It matches the Rfam family "Bacterial small subunit ribosomal RNA", at positions 524 to 776 of the family's 1533-position model. The record is from RNAcentral.